AAACUCAGCCCAGUUCAGCAAUAGACGGGUUUAUAAGAAGAUACCCAGUCUGGAGUCAGACGUUUAAUUAACUUAAUGAUUAUAAUUAUUAGUAGGGUUAUUACGAAGUCUUUCUGCUGUGUUUUAUUAUAGUUUAUAACUAUCUACUAUCCACUUAGGAUGCCAUAGACACACUUAUUCUUCUUCUUCUGCUACUACAACUACUACUACUAUUACAACUAUAGCCAGAUAUACGUACCAGGGAGUUGAAGCUCUCUCUCUCUCUACUAAUCUCUCUGUUCCUUCUAGGGAGUUGAAGCUCUCUCUCUCUCUACUAAUCUCUAUGUUCCUUCCAGGGGAGUUGUAGAUCUCUCUCGCUCUCUCUCUCUCUCUCUACUGAUCUCUCUGUUCCUUCCAGGGGAGUUGUAGUGAGAGGUUUGGCCCGUCAUAUGAUUCAUGGACAGACAGACAGACAGACAGACAGGCAGACAGACAGGGAGGCAGGCAGGCAGACAGACAGACCAGGAGAGAGAGAGAUAGAUCAGGAGAGAGAGAGAUAGAGAGGAGGAGGAUUCAGGAGAGAGAGAGAUAGAGAGGAGGAGGAAUCAGGAGAGAGAGGGGAGGAGGAAUCAGGAGAGAGAGAUCGAGAGGAGGAGGAAUCAGGAGAGAGAGAGAUAGAGGAGGAGGAAUCAGGAGAGAGAUAGAGAGGAGGAGGAAUCAGGAGAGAGAGAUAGAGAGAGGAGGAGGAAUCAGGAGAGAGAGAUAGAGAGGAGGAGGAAUCAGGAGAGAGAGAUAGAGAGGAGGAGGAAUCAGGAGAGAGAGAUAGAGGAGUAGGAAUCAGGAGAGAGAUAGAGAGGAGGAGGAAUCAGGAGAGAGAGAUAGAGAGGAGGAGGAAUCAGGAGAGAGAGAUAGAGGAGUAGGAAUCAGGAGAGAGAUAGAGAGGAGGAGGAAUCAGGAGAGAGAGAGAGAGGAGGAGGAAUCAGGAGAGAGAGAGAUAGAGAGGAGGAGGAAUCAGGACAGAGAGAUAGAGAUGAGGAGGAAUCAGGAGAGAGAGAGAUAGAGAGGAGGAGGAAUCAGGACAGAGAGAUAGAGAUGAGGAGGAAUCAGGAGAGAGAGAGAUAGAGAGGAGGAGGAAUCAGGAGAGAGAUAGAGAUGAGGAGGAAUCAGGAGAGAGAGAUAGAGAGGAGCAGGAAUUAGAGAGAGAGAUGUAGAGGAGGUAGAAUUAGGAGAGAUAGAGAGGAGGUGGAAUCAGGAGAUAUAUAUAGAGAGGAGGAGAAGGAGUCAGGUAAGAGAGAGAUAGAAACAAGGAGGAAUCAGGAGAGAGGGAAAUGGAGAGGAGGGGGAAUCAGGAGAGAGAUAUAGAGAGGAGGAGGAAUCAGAGAGAGAGAGAUAGAGGGAGGAGGAAUCAGGAGAGCGAGAUAGAGAGGAAGAGGAAUCAGGAGAGAGAGAUAGUUAGGAGGAGGAAUCAGGAGAGAGAUAGAGAGGAGGAGGAAUCACGAGAGAGAUAUAGUGGAGAAGGAUUCAGGAGAGAGAGAGGAGGAGGAAUCAGGAGAGAUAGAUAGAGAGGAGGAGGAAUCAGGAGAGAGAUAGAGAGGAGGAGGAAUCAGGAGAGAAAGAUAGAGAUGAGGAGGAAUCAGGAGCGAGAUAGAGAGGAGGAGGACUCAGGAGAGAGAGAGAGAUAGAGAGGAGGAGGAAUCAGGAGAGAGAGAUAGAGAUGAGGAGGAAUCAGGAGAGAGAGAUAGAGAUGAGGAGGAAUCCGGAGAGAGAGAUAGAGAGGAGCAGGAAUUAGGAGAGAGAGAUGUAGAGGAGGAGGAAUCAGGAGAGAGAUGGAGAGGAGAAGGAAUCAGGAGAGAGAGAUAGAGAGGAGGAGGAAUCAGGAGAGAGAUUGAGAUGAGAAGAAAUCAGGAGAGAGAGAUGGAGAGGAGGGUGAAUCAGGAGAGAGGGAGAUAGAGAGGAGGAGGAAUCAGGAUAGAGGGAGAUAGAGAGGAGGAGGAAUCAUGAUAGAGAGAUGGAGAGGACGACGAAUCAGGAGAGAGAUAGAGAGGAGGAGGAAUCAGGAGAGAAAGAUAGAGAUGAGGAGGAAUCAGGAGCGAGAUAGAGAGGAGGAGGAAUCGGAGAGAGGGAAAUGGAGAGGAGGGGGAAUCAGGAGAGAGAGAUAGAGAGGAGCAGGAAUUAGGAGAGAGAGAUGUAGAGGAGGAGGAAUCAGGAGAGAGAUGGAGAGGAGAAGGAAUCAGGAGAGAGAGAUAGAGAGGAGGAGGAAUCAGGAGAGAGAUUGAGAUGAGAAGAAAUCAGGAGAGAGAGAUGGAGAGGAGGGUGAAUCAGGAGAGAGGGAGAUAGAGAGGAGGAGGAAUCAGGAUAGAGGGAGAUAGAGAGGAGGAGGAAUCAUGAUAGAGAGAUGGAGAGGAGGACGAAUCAG
Molecule: long non-coding RNA, 2395 nt
Organism: Oncorhynchus tshawytscha (Chinook salmon)
Lineage: Eukaryota; Metazoa; Chordata; Actinopteri; Salmoniformes; Salmonidae
Source: Ensembl